UGUUCUUGACGUCUGGACCAC
RNAcentral lists this microRNA (21 nucleotides) under Pinus taeda (loblolly pine). RNAcentral's name for it is "pta-miR951". Its record names the gene pta-miR951. The record is from miRBase by way of RNAcentral. RNAcentral also lists the same sequence under 1 other name. Lineage: Eukaryota; Viridiplantae; Streptophyta; Pinopsida; Pinales; Pinaceae.